AGACACAGCCUGAGACCACUCUGGAGAGGGGAGAGUUAAUGGUCAGGGAUCAUGAGUUGGAGGCAGCAUCGUAAUGACAGGAUGCCACCAAGUGUUAAGUUGGUGUUCAUUGUUGGGGCUGGAGGAAGCUGGUCUGCAUUCCAUUCAGAGGGAUUUGGAUCACUCCAUGGAGAUGAGGGUGUGGCCUGGAUUAUUCCAAUGGGGCAGGGAUGGACAGGGAGGCUCCAUGAAGAGUAGUGAAAGGGGGUAUUGUGCUAUUUGAGGGAGAUGGAGGAACUGAUGUGCUAAAGAGAUGGAGGUGGAGAGUACUGGAUUUUCCCACCUGCCUGGGAGGGUACUGGGACGAGGGGAUCCAGAUGAGAGGGAUGGCCUGUGGUGACAGGAAUAGAGUGGCAGACGACCUCAGGUUUUCACCAUGUUGUCAGCCUCCAACUCCUCCUCUAGAAUUUUCUAACAGAUUUACACUCAGAGCCUGGUCGCCCCCCGUUAGCCCAGAUUCAAAAGGUGAACAUCUGUUUGCAGAAUCUGAUUCAUGAGAAGUUCUCCCCAAGUCCACUGAAC
RNAcentral lists this long non-coding RNA (561 nucleotides) under Homo sapiens (human). RNAcentral's name for it is "long non-coding RNA NONHSAT118445". The record is from RNAcentral. Lineage: Eukaryota; Metazoa; Chordata; Mammalia; Primates; Hominidae.